Bubalus bubalis (water buffalo) is the source of this 280-nucleotide long non-coding RNA. RefSeq lists it as uncharacterized. The record is from RefSeq and is a predicted model, not a curated record. Lineage: Eukaryota; Metazoa; Chordata; Mammalia; Artiodactyla; Bovidae. The transcript is spliced from 2 exons.
CCUGCGUCGCAUCCAACUUACUCCAAGUUUUCUGGUGACUCCUACAGGGCCCUUUCCGUCCCCCCUCCCACCCCUUAGAGAGAUUGACAGUCGCGUGGAGGAGGCUUUUCCAGGCACAGCCUUUCUCAUGGUAAUCGGCCCCCAGCAUCACCUCCCGGCCGCGGCCGCUCCCGCUCCGUGCGCAGCUAGCGGACCCCGGGGACCGGAAACAAGGCGGCGGGCGGGGAGCCGGCCAGCGAGCCAGGCUCAACUCCGAAUGGAUUGGAUUGCGAGUUCGCAC